This 375-nucleotide transfer-messenger RNA is filed under the name Mycoplasma miroungirhinis. RNAcentral describes it as "Mycoplasma sp. Mirounga ES2806-NAS transfer-messenger RNA". It matches the Rfam family "transfer-messenger RNA". Rfam says of the family: Bacterial tmRNA, also known as 10Sa RNA or SsrA, is named for its dual tRNA and mRNA-like properties. Its role is to liberate the mRNA from a stalled ribosome. RNAcentral also lists the same sequence under 1 other name. The record is from Rfam by way of RNAcentral. Lineage: Bacteria; Bacillati; Mycoplasmatota; Mollicutes; Mycoplasmatales; Mycoplasmataceae.
GGGGGUGUAAUGGUUUCGACAGAUAUAAGCUCCUUUAAAAUGCAGUGGUUUUGCAGACCAUAAUGCUUCUAGGCUUUCAAUAAACGGAAAGAAUACAAACAAAAACAUAGAAGUUUCUCCUUUUAUGUUAAACCAAUCACAAAAUCUAUUAUUUGCUUAAUAAAUACUAGUCGCUUUACUAAUUCUCGGUAGUAAAUGUCGUUAUAUGAGAUUAGAUUAUGCUUUUGUAAUAGCGGUAUAAUUGAAAUAAAUAUUACUUCUAAUAAAAAAUUUUGUUUAUUUUAUAUUUAUUAGAAUAUUAAAAAUAUACUAAACUGUAGAUUUUUAAAGCAAGUUUAUGUGUGGACCGGGGUUCAACUCCCCGCAUCUCCACCA